UCCUGUCCUGAAACAACCCAAACCACAGUGUCACCACUAUUUCCACACAGGGCUUUCCCCAUUCUGCCUGGGUCGUGGUCUUACUCUGUAAGGAGACAAAUGGCCACUCCUGACAUUUGGCCCCAUUUCCAAAGUAAAGUUUCCCAUUUGGUGUCCUGGAUGACAAAGGGCAUAGGGCUGUGUUCCCACACCAUCAGAAACUGGAUCACAGGUUCCAAUCCUCCCCCACCCCACCCCCACCCCUGAAACUCUCCAUUCUUCAAGGCUGCUGACUUGGGCUCAAGUGUCAGAAGGAAAACCCUAAGGUUGAACUGAUCUGAAAGAAUGAGAGUAAGUAAGCACACACAGGGGGUUGCCCUUGCCAAGUGCCUAUGUACUUACUCCCCCUCGGGAGGCCCCAGCUCUCAGUGCCUUAGCCCUGGACCUAAAAAGCCUACCGAGCAUUUUCUGCAGGUGACAGUAAAGACUGGCUGAAUGAGGGAAGCAAUUCCAGAUGCUGGCAACUGUGCAGUUUUCCACAGGAGAAUCUACCUCGAGCCCCAAGUUGACAACCACUGCUGAGGAUUCCAGGAAGAGAUGGGAGCAGGCCGAAUAAUUGCUGCUCAAGUCCACAGUGGAGCCCCAGCCCUGCCACGAGCCAGCUCCAGAGCGUUGGGCAAUCCUGCCCUCAUCUGGACCUGUAAGAGAGAGCUACUAUACUGCUCGCCUGCCAGGGCUGCUGGUCAUCAUUAGGCUCUCCAAGCACAGUGGGUAACUUCCAUUGCCUCAUUUCACCUUCAGUCUGCUCCCACAAGGACAUACUGGAACACUGCAUUUCAGACAAGGAAACUGAGACCCGGCUGAAGGAAGGUCUUGAGUACUCAACUGG
Molecule: long non-coding RNA, 868 nt
Organism: Herpailurus yagouaroundi (jaguarundi)
Lineage: Eukaryota; Metazoa; Chordata; Mammalia; Carnivora; Felidae
Exons: 2
Source: RefSeq, a predicted model, not a curated record